Podarcis lilfordi (Lilford's wall lizard) is the source of this 130-nucleotide non-coding RNA. The record is from the annotation of a GenBank genome assembly. NCBI's taxonomy places the organism in Eukaryota, Metazoa, Chordata, Lepidosauria, Squamata, Lacertidae.
AUAUUCGUAAGUGCAGAACCUGAUAUUUGUCCAUAUUGAAAUGUAUUUUGUUAGUUUUAAAGAACUGGAACAAAACUAACAAAAUGAAUUUCAAUAGGAACCAAUGUCAGGUUCUACACCUAGGCAGGAA